UACGUAGGUGGCGAGCGUUGUCCGGAUUUACUGGGUGUAAAGGGCGUGUAGGCGGGGAAACAAGUCAGAUGUGAAAUUCCGUGGCUUAACUGCGGGGCUGCAUCUGAAACUGUUUUUCUUGAGUGCUGGAGAGGAAAGUGGAAUUCCCAGUGUAGCGGUGAAAUGCGUAGAGAUUGGGAGGAACACCAGUGGCGAAGGUGGCUUUCUGGACAGUAACUGACGCUGAGGCGCGAAAGCGUGGGGAGCAAACAGG
RNAcentral lists this ribosomal RNA (253 nucleotides) under uncultured bacterium. RNAcentral's name for it is "partial 16S ribosomal RNA". It matches the Rfam family "Bacterial small subunit ribosomal RNA", at positions 524 to 776 of the family's 1533-position model. The record is from RNAcentral.